CUAUAUUUUUAUUUUUUGUAAUGAACAAUUGCCUUUUUUAGAUUCUGAUGUGUCGGAUGCCGAAGAGAUAUUUGAGUUUUGUCCGCAAUUCAUUCAGUGCCGUGUGCCGAUUUUCAAGGUGCAUGGAAAGGAAAAGAAACUUACAAUGAUUGUGGAGAAAGGGAGCUCCCUUCCCUUUAAGAAAAUGUAAGA
Eurytemora carolleeae is the source of this 192-nucleotide long non-coding RNA. RefSeq lists it as uncharacterized. Lineage: Eukaryota; Metazoa; Arthropoda; Copepoda; Calanoida; Temoridae. The record is from RefSeq and is a predicted model, not a curated record. The transcript has 3 exons.